Molecule: ribosomal RNA, 229 nt
Filed under: uncultured bacterium
Lineage: Bacteria
Description: partial 16S ribosomal RNA
Rfam family: Bacterial small subunit ribosomal RNA
Source: RNAcentral
UGCGUAGGUGGUUUGAUAGGUCAGAGGUGAAAGCCCACCGCUUAACGGUGGAAUUGCCUUUGAUACUGUCAGACUUGAAUAAGGUUGAGGUCGGCGGAAUGUGUCAUGUAGCGGUGAAAUGCAUAGAUAUGACAUAGAACACCAAUUGCGAAGGCUACUGGCUAGACCUUUAUUGACACUGAGGCACGAAAGCGUGGGGAGCGAACAGGAUUAGAUACCCUGGUAGUCC